GAUGAACGCUGGCGGCGUGCCUAAUACAUGCAAGUCGAGCGAACAGACGAGGAGCUUGCUCCUCUGACGUUAGCGGCGGACGGGUGAGUAACACGUGGAUAACCUACCUAUAAGACUGGGAUAACUUCGGGAAACCGGAGCUAAUACCGGAUAAUAUAUUGAACCGCAUGGUUCAAUAGUGAAAGACGGUUUUGCUGUCACUUAUAGAUGGAUCCGCGCCGCAUUAGCUAGUUGGUAAGGUAACGGCUUACCAAGGCAACGAUGCGUAGCCGACCUGAGAGGGUGAUCGGCCACACGGGAACUGAGACACGGUCCAGACUCCUACGGGAGGCAGCAGUAGGGAAUCUUGCGCAAUGGGCGAAAGCCUGACGGAGCAACGCCGCGUGAGUGAUGAAGGUCUUCGGAUCGUAAAACUCUGUUAUUAGGGAAGAACAAAUGUGUAAGUAACUAUGCACGUCUUGACGGUACCUAAUCAGAAAGCCACGGCUAACUACGUG
Molecule: ribosomal RNA, 497 nt
Filed under: uncultured bacterium
Lineage: Bacteria
Description: partial 16S ribosomal RNA
Rfam family: Bacterial small subunit ribosomal RNA
Source: RNAcentral